RNAcentral lists this ribosomal RNA (465 nucleotides) under Vreelandella stevensii. Its description in RNAcentral is "partial 16S ribosomal RNA". It matches the Rfam family "Bacterial small subunit ribosomal RNA", at positions 338 to 795 of the family's 1533-position model. The record is from RNAcentral. Lineage: Bacteria; Pseudomonadati; Pseudomonadota; Gammaproteobacteria; Oceanospirillales; Halomonadaceae.
CCUACGGGGGGCAGCAGUGGGGAAUAUUGGACAAUGGGGGGAACCCUGAUCCAGCCAUGCCGCGUGUGUGAAGAAGGCCCUCGGGUUAUAAAGCACUUUCAGUGAGGAAGAACGCCUGGUGGUUAAUACCCAUCAGGAAAGACAUCACUCACAGAAGAAGCACCGGCUAACUCCGUGCCAGCAGCCGCGGUAAUACGGAGGGUGCGAGCGUUAAUCGGAAUUACUGGGCGUAAAGCGCGCGUAGGUGGCUUGAUAAGCCGGUUGUGAAAGCCCCGGGCUCAACCUGGGAACGGCAUCCGGAACUGUCAAGCUAGAGUGCAGGAGAGGAAGGUAGAAUUCCCGGUGUAGCGGUGAAAUGCGUAGAGAUCGGGAGGAAUACCAGUGGCGAAGGCGGCCUUCUGGACUGACACUGACACUGAGGUGCGAAAGCGUGGGUAGCAAACAGGAUUAGAUACCCCAGUAGUC